UCGCCCAAGGAUGGGGCCGCGACCGAUCAGGUUGUUGGUGAGGUAAUGGCUCACCAAGCCUUUAACCGGUGCGGGCCGUGAGAGCGGGAGCCCGGAGAUGGGCACUGAGACAAGGGCCCAGGCCCUACGGGGCGCAGCAGUCGCUAAAACUUUGCAAUACACGCCAUUGUGACAAAGCUAUCCCGAGUGCCAUCCGCUGAGGAAGGCUUUUACCCUGUAUACAUAGCUGGGGGAAUAAGGAUAGGGCUAGACUGGUGUCAGCCGACGCUGUAAUACCAGCUCUCCGAAUGGUGUGGAUG
RNAcentral lists this ribosomal RNA (299 nucleotides) under uncultured archaeon. Its description in RNAcentral is "partial 16S ribosomal RNA". It matches the Rfam family "Archaeal small subunit ribosomal RNA", at positions 199 to 493 of the family's 1478-position model. The record is from RNAcentral.